This 253-nucleotide ribosomal RNA is filed under the name uncultured bacterium. RNAcentral's name for it is "partial 16S ribosomal RNA". It matches the Rfam family "Bacterial small subunit ribosomal RNA", at positions 524 to 776 of the family's 1533-position model. The record is from RNAcentral.
UACGGGGGGGGCAAGCGUUGUUCGGAAUUACUGGGCGUAAAGGGCUCGUAGGUGGCCAACUAAGUCGGACGUGAAAUCCCUCAGCUUAACUGGGGAACUGCGUCCGAUACUGGAUGGCUCGAGUUUGGGAGAGGGAUGCGGAAUUCCAGGUGUAGCGGUGAAAUGCGUAGAUAUCUGGAGGAACACCGGUGGCGAAGGCGGCAUCCUGGACCGGUAUUGACGCUGAGGCGCGAAAGCCAGGGGAGCAAACGGG